Molecule: small RNA, 550 nt
Filed under: Pan troglodytes (chimpanzee)
Lineage: Eukaryota; Metazoa; Chordata; Mammalia; Primates; Hominidae
Description: processed transcript
Source: RNAcentral
AGAUUUCCUUGUAUUGAAUUAUAACUUGGAAGCUUCAUAGGUUAACCCUUGAAGUCUCUCUCUAGAUUAAAAUAUGGGUUAAAAAAAAUCCCUAAUUAUAGAAUCAUAGAUCUUUGAGACAGAAGGGACUUCAAGCAGUUCUUUCAUAACGCCAUCUGCCCUAAGUUGUUAUCAGGAGGCUUAGGUGACUUGCCCAAAGUCAUAGAUGAAUAGAUAAUGUCAAAAGUUCCUACAUUUUGGAUGUUCUUCCAUUCCAAGCAGUUUAAGAAUGAUAAUAAUAACUAAACAGCAAAAACGCCCAUUUGCCUAUCAUAAGCUUUUGAAAGAUGCAGGAGGCAUGGUGAUUGAUAUGAAGUGGAACCCCACUGUCCCCUCCAUGGUGGCAGUUUGUCUGGCUGAUGGUAGUAUUGCUGUCCUGCAAGUCACGGAAACAGUGAAAGUAUGUGCAACUCUUCCUUCCACAGUAGCAGUAACCUCUGUGUGCUGGAGCCCCAAAGGAAAGCAGCUAGCAGUGGGAAAACAGAAUGGAACUGUGGUCCAGUAUCUUCCU